RNAcentral lists this small nucleolar RNA (76 nucleotides) under Brachypodium distachyon (stiff brome). The record is from RNAcentral. Lineage: Eukaryota; Viridiplantae; Streptophyta; Magnoliopsida; Poales; Poaceae.
GAGCAAAUGAUGAUUACAUAUGAUUUUACUGAUACAUUUGAUGUUACAAAAUCGAGCUUUUUAAAACUGAUGCUCA